CGGUUCGCAUGAUGAAACACGGCGGUGGCAGCGUCAUGCUGUGGGGAUUCGUCUCUCUAGCAGAGACAUGGAAACUAGUCAGAGUGGAUGGGAUGAAGGAGACCUGUUAGGAGCUGCAAAAGACUUGAGGUUGGGGAGUAGCUUCGUCUCUCAGCAGGACAGGGACCCUAAACUUGCAGCCAGAGUAACAAUGGAACGGAGGUCAGAACGGCCCAGUCAAAGCGCAGAAAUAAAUCCCGUCGAGUACCUGCAGCUAGCCUAAAAAAAAAAAACGAUGCUCACAAACGCUCUCCAUCCAGUCUGACUGAGCUAGAACUAUUCUGCAAGAAGAAAGGCCAAAAAUGUUCACCUCUAGACCUGCAGGUAUGGACAUACCCCAAGAAGAUGCGCAGCUUUAACUGAAGGGGAAGCGGUUCCCGAAAACGGUUACAAGCAAUGUCGUCUUUUUUCCUCCAAUCUCACGGCUAUGUGCUACUUUUCAUUGUUCUCAGACAUAAAAUGCCCCCAAACAUUACAUAGAAGUUUGUGGUUGUAACACAAAAUGUGGAACCACACAAGGGGUCUGAAGGCUUUUAUGACGCAUUCAUAAAUGCGUCAUAAAAGUGUGUGGAAAAAGACUUUCAUAAAGCCACAGUUGCUUUGAAAUCUAGUUUCAGAGCAGGGAUUUUGAAAUGCUAGAAACUUUUUUCACAGAGCAGCGAAUUCCUCAUUUUUUUUCCUAUAAAAAAAAAAAAACGAAAGAAAGCAAAUUAUUCCGUUGCAGCCUUUAUCUAUUCCAUGGCACCGUUAAUAAUUAUUGAUCAGGUGGUUUUUUUUAUUGUUUAAAACAACAUCUUUCUGUUGAAGCAGAUUUGACGUGUUUUGACGACAGAGCUGCCGUGAAAACAACACGCCAAGCAGAGUUUUAAUUUCCCCUGCUAUAAAGCUUUGCAGACUCAAACGCGAGUAAUUAGUGUGCAAAUAAUGCGGCGGCUGCCUUCCUGGGCAACAGAGCCGAGGCUCAGUUCCCAGCCGGCGAGAAUAAAACCCCUCUUUGCUCGUGAAAUUAUCCUUUUGCCGAAAAGGAUGAACACCCUACUGGCAACGCUGUACCCUGCGCCCUGUCAGAAAACUCCACAUUAGAAGUGAAAAAGUAAACAGUGGAGGAGACGUGCAGAAACAAAAGCAAAGCUAUUUCACUGGAGGCACAGGUCAGAGUCCUAAUGCUCAGCCUGUUACAGCAGCAGCAGCAGGCGGGGUUAACCCAGGGUUUGCCUGGGCGAGACGUAACAAGCCCCACAACCCCAGAUCAGGUGAGUACAGAGCGCCGACUCGGUCUGCAAGGAGUUCUGGGCAGCGCGCCAUCCAGCUGGCACGGCUGCCGCCGGGGGACCUGCCAGCUCCCUGAGGAGGCGCGUUACCAGGAGACGAGGUGCUCCUCCCCUACGUUUAUUUACCUCGGUCCUCAUCAAGGUCACAGCCGGUGACUCUGUGGCCCACGAGAGGGGAGCGGGGAGGCACGUGGCAGAGGGAGCGAUCGCGGGAGUCCGGACGCAACACUACCUAUUAGUGACAGGACUCUUUAUGCCCUCACCCACAUCUGGUAAAGAUGAGUAAAAAGCCUGAAAAUAAUGUUUUUCUUCAAUCCCAGAACUUUAAUGUCAGACAAAUGUAUUUUUUUUUUAAAAGUCCAACCUUUAUUUUGAAGACAUUUAUUCGGUUCUUAUCAUUUAAAUGUGACUAAACCAUCCAUCCAUCCAUUUUCUAACACGUCUAUCCCUGUUGGGGAGAGGAGAAUUUAGAGAGGCCAAUUAACCCUGUCCAUUAAUCCUGGCUACUGCUUUUAGAGCUCAGACGCUUGCCUGAACUCACCCAUAUCUACGAACUGAAGCGUUUAAGCCACCUGGAACUGAGGCAAAUAAAUGGGGACCAGGACUUAUUUUUACCUUGCCACUACAGACUGUGAGGAGUCUUCUUUGGGUCACCAUGUCUCCAUCAAUAAAGUUGCACUCUACCUUUCGAAACAGCAAAAAAAAAAAAAAAGCCUUUUUCCUGCUACCAUAAGCAGCGUAAUCCGGUGGUUUGCAGAACUCCAGUAAGUCUUCAUCUGGAACCACGCGCUUUGGUCAGACGAGACUAAUCUAUAAAAACACUUUCUGUGGGUUUAGAGUGAAAAUCAAAAAGGCCGUAACGUUGUUUGUUGCUUUUUAAGAAGAAACAACAAAAAACCAACACAUGCCCAUUGUCAUGUACGAUGGAGGAUCUGUGAUGCUGUGUGCUUUUUUUUUUUUUUACUCUAAAGAAUCCAGGAUGGUUGUUUGACAAAACAAAAUGUGGACUCUACGAGGAAAACUUAAAAGGCUGAUCAUUAGGUCUUUCAGCAAGAGAAAGAUCCAAACCAUACGGAUAAAUCAGCAAAAAACAGUUCACCAGACGCCACAGGCACCUUUUACCACAGCCAUCUCUGUCUUCAGCCAUAAAUCCGACAGAAAAAAAAGAGAACAGAGCAAAAGAGAGGACCCACGCUGGACCUGUAUGCCAGAGACUACUGGAAGGGUUUUCCUCUUGGCUAAAAAGGGUUUUGGUGGAAAGAACUGACAGCGUGGCUUCCUAAAAAGUUUCCAGGCCAGAUUUGGUAGGAGGUGAAUAUUUCUUUCGAUGGCAUUCUGACCCAGCUGAAUAAAGGCGUUCAAACUAA
Molecule: long non-coding RNA, 2677 nt
Organism: Fundulus heteroclitus (mummichog)
Lineage: Eukaryota; Metazoa; Chordata; Actinopteri; Cyprinodontiformes; Fundulidae
Exons: 2
Source: RefSeq, a predicted model, not a curated record